This 716-nucleotide ribosomal RNA is filed under the name Pedobacter sp. A5AC12. Its description in RNAcentral is "bacterial SSU rRNA". It matches the Rfam family "Bacterial small subunit ribosomal RNA", at positions 112 to 826 of the family's 1533-position model. Lineage: Bacteria; Pseudomonadati; Bacteroidota; Sphingobacteriia; Sphingobacteriales; Sphingobacteriaceae. The record is from RNAcentral.
AACGCGUAUGCAACCUACCUUAAUCAGGGGGAUAGCCCGAAGAAAUUCGGAUUAACACCGCAUAAAAUCACAGUACAGCAUUGUACAAUGAUCAAAUAUUUAUAGGAUUAAGAUGGGCAUGCGUGACAUUAGUUAGUUGGCGGGGUAACGGCCCACCAAGACCACGAUGUCUAGGGGAUCUGAGAGGAUGACCCCCCACACUGGUACUGAGACACGGACCAGACUCCUACGGGAGGCAGCAGUAAGGAAUAUUGGUCAAUGGAGGCAACUCUGAACCAGCCAUGCCGCGUGCAGGAAGACAGCCCUCUGGGUCGUAAACUGCUUUUAUUCGGGAAUAAACCUGCUUACGUGUAAGUAGCUGAAUGUACCGAAGGAAUAAGGAUCGGCUAACUCCGUGCCAGCAGCCGCGGUAAUACGGAGGAUCCAAGCGUUAUCCGGAUUUAUUGGGUUUAAAGGGUGCGUAGGCGGCUUUUUAAGUCAGGGGUGAAAGACGGUGGCUCAACCAUCGCAGUGCCCUUGAUACUGAAGAGCUUGAAUGAAUUAGAGGUAGGCGGAAUGUGACAAGUAGCGGUGAAAUGCAUAGAUAUGUCACAGAACACCGAUUGCGAAGGCAGCUUACUAUGAUUUUAUUGACGCUGAGGCACGAAAGCGUGGGGAUCAAACAGGAUUAGAUACCCUGGUAGUCCACGCCCUAAACGAUGAAUACUCGCUGUUAG